AUGUUCUUUUGGGGGGCGGAGCCAAGCAACUGACCUGAAUGGCCACACGCCACACGAGCUCCGCAAAAAAACAAGCAAUCUGGGCCCGCAAACACAGCCCCAACGAAACCGGCACCAAACUGACCCGCGGACUGCUGACACCGACAUGGGCCGAAAAACCAAAAAGCCCAAGCCCGAUAAUCCGUGGCAAAACCUAAGCAUCGGCAACCUCUGG
Molecule: non-coding RNA, 214 nt
Organism: Pelobates cultripes (western spadefoot toad)
Lineage: Eukaryota; Metazoa; Chordata; Amphibia; Anura; Pelobatidae
Source: the annotation of a GenBank genome assembly